RNAcentral lists this ribosomal RNA (501 nucleotides) under uncultured bacterium. RNAcentral describes it as "partial 16S ribosomal RNA". It matches the Rfam family "Bacterial small subunit ribosomal RNA", at positions 30 to 523 of the family's 1533-position model. The record is from RNAcentral.
AUUGAACGCUGGCGGCAGGCUUAACACAUGCAAGUCGAGCGGGGGAAGGUAGCUUGCUACCGGACCUAGCGGCGGACGGGUGAGUAAUGCUUAGGAAUCUGCCUAUUAGUGGGGGACAACAUCUCGAAAGGGAUGCUAAUACCGCAUACGUCCUACGGGAGAAAGCAGGGGAUCUUCGGACCUUGCGCUAAUAGAUGAGCCUAAGUCGGAUUAGCUAGUUGGUGGGGUAAAGGCCUACCAAGGCGACGAUCUGUAGCGGGUCUGAGAGGAUGAUCCGCCACACUGGGACUGAGACACGGCCCGGACUCCUACGGGAGGCAGCAGUGGGGAAUAUUGGACAAUGGGGGGAACCCUGAUCCAGCCAUGCCGCGUGUGUGAAGAAGGCCUUAUGGUUGUAAAGCACUUUAAGCGAGGAGGAGGCUACUCUAGUUAAUACCUAGGGAUAGUGGACGUUACUCGCAGAAUAAGCACCGGCUAACUCUGUGCCAGCCGCCGCCGCGG